CUACGGGGUGCAGCAGUGGGGAAUAUUGGACAAUGGGGGAAACCCUGAUCCAGCAAUGCCGCGUGUGUGAAGAAGGCCUGCGGGUUGUAAAGCACUUUCGGUUGGGAGGACUGCUUCUAGCACUAAUAUUGUUGGAAGUUGACGUUACCUUCAGAAGAGGCACCGGCUAACUCCGUGCCAGCAGCCGCGGUAAUACGGAGGGUGCAAGCGUGAAUCGGAAUUACUGGGCGUAAAGCGCGCGUAGGCGGCUAGAUCAGUCGGGUGUGAAAGCCCCGGGCUUAACCUGGGAACUGCAUCCGAUACUGUCUAGCUUGAGUACAGGAGAGGAGAGUGGAAUUCCACAUGUAGCGGUGAAAUGCGUAGAUAUGUGGAGGAACACCAAUGGCGAAGGCAGCUCUCUGGCCUGAUACUGACGCUGAGGUGCGAAAGCGUGGGGAGCAAACAGGAUUAGAUACCCGGGUAGUC
Molecule: ribosomal RNA, 465 nt
Filed under: uncultured bacterium
Lineage: Bacteria
Description: partial 16S ribosomal RNA
Rfam family: Bacterial small subunit ribosomal RNA
Source: RNAcentral